GACGAACGCUGGCGGUGUGCUUAACACAUGCAAGUCGAACGGUAAGGCCCUUUCGGGGGUACACGAGUGGCGAACGGGUGAGUAACACGUGAGUAACCUGCCCUCAUCUCUGGGAUAACAGUCGGAAACGGUUGCUAAUACUGGAUAUGAGCUUGCAAGGCAUCUUGUGGGUUGGAAAGAUUUUUUUGGUUGGGGAUGGACUCGCGGCCUAUCAGCUUGUUGGUGAGGUAGUGGCUCACCAAGGCUUCGACGGGUAGCCGGCCUGAGAGGGCGACCGGCCACAUUGGGACUGAGAUACGGCCCAAACUCCUACGGGAGGCAGCAGUGGGGAAUAUUGCACAAUGGACGGAAGUCUGAUGCAGCAACGCCGCGUGCGGGAUGACGGCCUUCGGGUUGUAAACCGCUUUCAAUUGUGAGGAAGCUUUUUGUGACGGUAGCAGUAGAAGAAGCACCGGCUAACUACGUG
RNAcentral lists this ribosomal RNA (466 nucleotides) under uncultured bacterium. Its description in RNAcentral is "partial 16S ribosomal RNA". It matches the Rfam family "Bacterial small subunit ribosomal RNA", at positions 28 to 507 of the family's 1533-position model. The record is from RNAcentral.